GACGAACGCUGGCGGCGUGCUUAACACAUGCAAGUCGAACGGUGAAGCGCCUUCCUUUUUGGUGGGUGUGGAUGAGUGGCGAACGGGUGAGUAACACGUGAGUAACCUGCCCCCUUCUUCUGGAUAACCGCAUGAAAGUGUGGCUAAUACGGGAUAUUCUGGGUCUGUCGCAUGAUGGGUCUGGGAAAGAUAUUGUUUCGGUGGGGGAUGGGCUCGCGGCCUAUCAGCUUGUUGGUGGGGUGAUGGCCUACCAAGGCGGUGACGGGUAGCCGGCCUGAGAGGGUGGACGGUAGCACUGGGACUGAGACACGGCCCAGACUCCUACGGGAGGCAGCAGUGGGGAAUAUUGCACGAUGGGCGCAAGCCUGAUGCAGCGACGCCGCGUGAGGGAUGGAGGCCGUCGGGUUGUGAACCUCUUUCGCCAGUGAAGCAGGCCUGCCUCGUUUGUGGGUGGGUUGACGGUAGCUGGAUAAGAAGCGCCGGCUAACUACGUG
Molecule: ribosomal RNA, 494 nt
Filed under: uncultured bacterium
Lineage: Bacteria
Description: partial 16S ribosomal RNA
Rfam family: Bacterial small subunit ribosomal RNA
Source: RNAcentral